AACGAACGCUGGCGGCAUGCCUAACACAUGCAAGUCGAACGAAGUCUUCGGACUUAGUGGCGCACGGGUGCGUAACGCGUGGGAAUCUGCCCUUGGGUACGGAAUAACUCAGAGAAAUUUGUGCUAAUACCGUAUAAUGUCGUAAGACCAAAGAUUUAUCGCCCAAGGAUGAGCCCGCGUAAGAUUAGCUAGUUGGUAGGGUAAAAGCCUACCAAGGCGACGAUCUUUAGCUGGUCUGAGAGGAUGAUCAGCCACACUGGGACUGAGACACGGCCCAGACUCCUACGGGAGGCAGCAGUGGGGAAUAUUGGACAAUGGGCGAAAGCCUGAUCCAGCAAUGCCGCGUGAGUGAUGAAGGCCCUAGGGUUGUAAAGCUCUUUUACCCGGGAUGAUAAUGACAGUACCGGGAGAAUAAGCUCCGGCUAACUCCGUGCCAGCAGCCGCGGUAAAGUACAGUGU
This 459-nucleotide ribosomal RNA is filed under the name uncultured bacterium. Its description in RNAcentral is "bacterial SSU rRNA". It matches the Rfam family "Bacterial small subunit ribosomal RNA", at positions 29 to 533 of the family's 1533-position model. The record is from RNAcentral.